RNAcentral lists this unclassified non-coding RNA (305 nucleotides) under plant metagenome. Its description in RNAcentral is "partial contains 5.8S ribosomal RNA, internal transcribed spacer 2, and large subunit ribosomal RNA". The stretch from base 1 to 105 matches the Rfam family "5.8S ribosomal RNA", at positions 50 to 154 of the family's 154-position model. The record is from RNAcentral.
GAAAUGCGAUAAGUAGUGUGAAUUGCAGAAUUCAGUGAAUCAUCGAAUCUUUGAACGCACAUUGCGCCCUUUGGUAUUCCUUAGGGCAUGCCUGUUCGAGCGUCAUUUGUAACCUCAAGCUCAGCUUGGUGUUGGGUGUCUGUCCCCGCCCCGCGCGGGGACUCGCCUCAAAAACAUUGGCGGCCGGUACGUUGACUUCGAGCGCAGCAGAAACGCGAACUCGAGGCCCGACGGAUCGGCGACCAGAAGUCACUUCUUCCACAGCUUGACCUCGGAUCAGGUAGGGAUACCCGCUGAACUUAAGC